CCCAAGUUACUCCCUCCUGUCUCCCUAUUUGUAACGCGGCAGAAAAUCAUGUACCUGCUUGUCUCUCUGAGGCUCAAAGUAUAGCCAGAGGGCUGAGCCGCUGCUGAGUGUCAGCCGCCUCCUUGAAAUUCAGGGUCAGCAGGAGGACAGACCCGCAAGAACACUCGCAAAGGGAGAGCGAUCUUUGCAAGGCAGAUGGAAGAACAAAUAUUAAGCAAGAAAAUGUGUGGAUGAAAAGGACUGUUUCCAAGACUGAAAACAAACUAUCCUUCCCUGAAAUGUUUCUACUGAUGAUGAGUGUCACCUGUGUACUCCCUGCCUGUCUGUUCCACCCUUCAUGUAAAAGUAAACUCUACCCCCAGUGUGGGACUCAAACUCAAGACCCUGAGAUCAAGAGUGGUGUGCUCUACUGACCGAGCCAGCCAAACACCCCGGAUCCUACCUCACGUGUAUCACCAACCAGCUGUAUGGCCCUGGAGGCCCAUACAACCUCUGCUUUCAAACCUG
Long non-coding RNA from Ailuropoda melanoleuca (giant panda), 507 nucleotides. RefSeq lists it as uncharacterized. The transcript is spliced from 3 exons. NCBI's taxonomy places the organism in Eukaryota, Metazoa, Chordata, Mammalia, Carnivora, Ursidae. The record is from RefSeq and is a predicted model, not a curated record.